GAUGAACGCUGGCGGCGUGCCUAAUACAUGCAAGUCGAACGCUGGAGAUCUAGCUUGCUAGAUCGAAGGAGUGGCGAACGGGUGAGUAAUACAUAAGCAACCUACCCACGAAGACUGGGAUAAUCUCUGGAAACGGGGACUAAUACCGGAUAGGUAAUCGGAAGGCAUCUUCUGGUUAUUAAAGGUUAAAAACACUGGUGGAUGGGCUUAUGGCGCAUUAGUUAGUUGGUGAGGUAACGGCCCACCAAGACGAUGAUGCGUAGCCGGCCUGGGAGGGUGAACCGCCACAUUUGGACCUGGGCCCGGCCCAGGCUCCUACGGGGCGCCGCCGUAGGGAAAUUUCCGCCAUGGGGGCAACCCUGACCGAGCAACGCCGCGUGAGUGAAGACGGCCUUCGGGUUGUAAAGCUCUGUUGUAAGGGAAGAACGGUAGAUAGAGAAUAUCUAAGUGACGGUACCUUACCAGAAAGCCACGGCUAACUACGUG
This 486-nucleotide ribosomal RNA is filed under the name uncultured bacterium. RNAcentral describes it as "partial 16S ribosomal RNA". It matches the Rfam family "Bacterial small subunit ribosomal RNA", at positions 28 to 507 of the family's 1533-position model. The record is from RNAcentral.